GAUGAACGCUGGCGGCGUGCCUAAUACAUGCAAGUCGAGCGAACGGACGAGAAGCUUGCUUCUCUGAUGUUAGCGGCGGACGGGUGAGUAACACGUGGAUAACCUACCUAUAAGACUGGGAUAACUUCGGGAAACCGGAGCUAAUACCGGAUAAUAUUUUGAACCGCAUGGUUCAAAAGUGAAAGACGGUCUUGCUGUCACUUAUAGAUGGAUCCGCGCUGCAUUAGCUAGUUGGUAAGGUAACGGCUUACCAAGGCAACGAUGCAUAGCCGACCUGAGAGGGUGAUCGGCCACACUGGAACUGAGACACGGUCCAGACUCCUACGGGAGGCAGCAGUAGGGAAUCUUCCGCAAUGGGCGAAAGCCUGACGGAGCAACGCCGCGUGAGUGGUGAAGGUCUUCGGAUCGUAAAACUCUGUUAUUAGGGAAGAACAUAUGUGUAAGUAACUGUGCACAUCUUGACGGUACCUAAUCAGAAAGCCACGGCUAACUACGUGCCAGCAGCCGCGGUAAUACGUAGGUGGCAAGCGUUAUCCGGAAUUAUUGGGCGUAAAGCGCGCGUAGGCGGUUUUUUAAGUCUGAUGUGAAAGCCCACGGCUCAACUGUGGAGGGUCAUUGGAAACUGGAAAACUUGAGUGCAGAAGAGGAAAGUGGAAUUCCAUGUGUAGCGGUGAAAUGCGCAGAGAUAUGGAGGAUCACCAGUGGCGAAGGCGACUUUCUGGUCUGUAACUGACGCUGAUGUGCGAAAGCGUGGGGAUCAAACAGGAUUAGAUACCCUGGUAGUCCACGCCGUAAACGAUGAGUGCUAAGUGUUAGGGGGUUUCCGCCCCUUAGUGCUGCAGCUAACGCAUUAAGCACUCCGCCUGGGGAGUACGACCGCAAGGUUGAAACUCAAAGGAAUUGACGGGGACCCGCACAAGCGGUGGAGCAUGUGGUUUAAUUCGAAGCAACGCGAAGAACCUUACCAAAUCUUGACAUCCUUUGACAACUCUAGAGAUAGAGCCUUCCCCUUCGGGGGACAAAGUGACAGGUGGUGCAUGGUUGUCGUCAGCUCGUGUCGUGAGAUGUUGGGUUAAGUCCCGCAACGAGCGCAACCCUUAAGCUUAGUUGCCAUCAUUAAGUUGGGCACUCUAAGUUGACUGCCGGUGACAAACCGGAGGAAGGUGGGGAUGACGUCAAAUCAUCAUGCCCCUUAUGAUUUGGGCUACACACGUGCUACAAUGGACAAUACAAAGGGCAGCGAAACCGCGAGGUCAAGCAAAUCCCAUAAAGUUGUUCUCAGUUCGGAUUGUAGUCUGCAACUCGACUACAUGAAGCUGGAAUCGCUAGUAAUCGUAGAUCAGCAUGCUACGGUGAAUACGUUCCCGGGUCU
RNAcentral lists this ribosomal RNA (1372 nucleotides) under uncultured bacterium. RNAcentral's name for it is "bacterial SSU rRNA". It matches the Rfam family "Bacterial small subunit ribosomal RNA", at positions 28 to 1381 of the family's 1533-position model. The record is from RNAcentral.